CUCGGGUGACGAGCGGCGGACGGGUGAGUAAUGUCUGGGAAACUGCCUGAUGGAGGGGGAUAACUACUGGAAACGGUAGCUAAUACCGCAUAACGUCGCAAGACCAAAGUGGGGGACCUUCGGGCCUCAUGCCAUCAGAUGUGCCCAGAUGGGAUUAGCUAGUAGGUGGGGUAACGGCUCACCUAGGCGACGAUCCCUAGCUGGUCUGAGAGGAUGACCAGCCACACUGGAACUGAGACACGGUCCAGACUCCUACGGGAGGCAGCAGUGGGGAAUAUUGCACAAUGGGCGCAAGCCUGAUGCAGCCAUGCCGCGUGUGUGAAGAAGGCCUUCGGGUUGUAAAGCACUUUCAGCGGGGAGGAAGGCGUUAAGGUUAAUAACCUUGGCGAUUGACGUUACCCGCAGAAGAAGCACCGGCUAACUCCGUGCCAGCAGCCGCGGUAAUACGG
Molecule: ribosomal RNA, 449 nt
Filed under: Acinetobacter baumannii
Lineage: Bacteria; Pseudomonadati; Pseudomonadota; Gammaproteobacteria; Moraxellales; Moraxellaceae
Description: bacterial SSU rRNA
Rfam family: Bacterial small subunit ribosomal RNA
Source: RNAcentral